GUCAUUUACCCCCUCAAGCUCUGCUUGGUGUUGGGUGUCUGUUCUGCUUUACUGCGUGAACUCGCCCUAAAGCCAUCGGCAGCUUCUAUGCCAGCCUCCAGCGCAGCAGAAUCAGCGCUGGAAGGUCUGGCCAGGAAGCGUCCGGCAAGAUUCAAUUCAAGCUUGACCUCGGAUCAGGUAGGGAUACCCGCUGAACUUAA
Molecule: unclassified non-coding RNA, 200 nt
Filed under: soil metagenome
Description: partial contains internal transcribed spacer 2 and large subunit ribosomal RNA
Source: RNAcentral